Molecule: ribosomal RNA, 492 nt
Filed under: uncultured bacterium
Lineage: Bacteria
Description: partial 16S ribosomal RNA
Rfam family: Bacterial small subunit ribosomal RNA
Source: RNAcentral
GGUGAACGCUGGCGGUAGGCCUAACACAUGCAAGUCGAACGGCAGCACAGUAAGAGCUUGCUCUUACGGGUGGCGAGUGGCGGACGGGUGAGGCAUACAUCGGCAUCUAUUUUUUCGUGGGGGAUAACGUAGGGCAACUUCUGCUACUACAGCAUACGUUCAACCGUUAGAAGCAGGGGAUAUUCGGACCUUGCGCUCUUGAAUGAGUCGAUGUCGGAUUAGCUAGCUGGCGGGGUAAAGGCCGACCAAGGCGACGAUCCGUAGCUGGUCUGAGAGGAUGAUCGGCCACACUGGAACGGGAACAGGGUCCAGACUCCUACGGGAGGCAGCAGAGGGGAAUAUUGGACAAGGGGCGCAAGCCGAAUGCAGCCAGACCGCGUGGGUGAAGAAGGCCUUCGGGUGGUAAAGCCCGUUUGUUGGGAAAGAAGAGCAGCAGGGUAAUACCCCGAUGUACUGACGGUACCCAAAGAAUAAGCACCGGCUAACUUCGUG